Molecule: transfer RNA, 75 nt
Filed under: Nicotiana tabacum (common tobacco)
Lineage: Eukaryota; Viridiplantae; Streptophyta; Magnoliopsida; Solanales; Solanaceae
Rfam family: tRNA
About the family: Transfer RNA (tRNA) molecules are approximately 80 nucleotides in length.
Source: Rfam by way of RNAcentral
GCACUUGUAGCUUAGUGGAUAGAGCGCUUGUUUCCUAACCUGAAGGUCGUAGGUUCUCGACCCCUACUUGGCGCA